CAGAGUACGGUGCCCUCGGGCGCCCACUCCAACCCUUUGUCUACCGAAAGUCGUUGCCUUGGCGGGCCGGCGUCACACACGCCACCGGUUCACGCCGGCCAGUGCCCGCCAGAGGAACCACAAACUCUGUUCACGGUGUCGUCCGAGUAAAUAUACAAAUAAAUCA
This 166-nucleotide unclassified non-coding RNA is filed under the name uncultured Ascomycota. RNAcentral's name for it is "sequence contains ITS1". Lineage: Eukaryota; Fungi; Ascomycota. The record is from RNAcentral.